This is a long non-coding RNA of Amblyraja radiata (thorny skate), 82 nucleotides long. RefSeq lists it as uncharacterized. The record is from RefSeq and is a predicted model, not a curated record. NCBI's taxonomy places the organism in Eukaryota, Metazoa, Chordata, Chondrichthyes, Rajiformes, Rajidae. The transcript has 3 exons.
UUGUCCUUAAAUUGUAGGAUAAGACUAGUGUAUGGCGUGAUUGUUUGUCAGCAUGGACUCGGUGGAUACAGGGCCUGCUUCC